This 240-nucleotide long non-coding RNA is filed under the name Pelobates cultripes (western spadefoot toad). Lineage: Eukaryota; Metazoa; Chordata; Amphibia; Anura; Pelobatidae. The record is from RNAcentral.
GGUGAUUGUGAUAAUGUGUGAUAAGUGUGCAGUUUAACUUGAAAGUAGUUUAAUUUAUAUGUUGCUGUAUUGUUUUAAAUUAUAUGUGAAUCAGUUUGUCACAGUCUAGUGAUACUGAUAAGAAUGACAGCCAAAUAACCUAGCAAAUAACUGUUUUAUUAGUUGUUGAAUACUAGCGUUUUGGCCAAGAAUAGUUGGAGAUUUGGAGGUGUUAGUCUAAGAUUGCUUUUAUAUUGUGUC